Molecule: ribosomal RNA, 315 nt
Filed under: uncultured eukaryote
Lineage: Eukaryota
Description: partial 18S ribosomal RNA
Rfam family: Eukaryotic small subunit ribosomal RNA
Source: RNAcentral
CCCUUAGACGUUCUGGGCCGCACGCGCGCUACACUGACCAGUGCAACAAGCAUCCGUCCUUGGCCGACAGGCCCGGGCAAUCUUUGAACGCUGGUCGUGAUGGGGAUAGACUUUUGCAAUUUUUGGUCUUCAACGAGGAAUUCCUAGUAAACGCAAGUCAUCAACUUGCGUUGAUUACGUCCCUGCCCUUUGUACACACCGCCCGUCGCACCUACCGAUUGAAUGGUCCGGUGAAGCCUCCGGAUUGGCGCGCACCUCGGUGCCGCCGAGAAGUUGGCUAAACCUUACCAUUUAGAGGAAGGUGAANUCGUANCA